UAAAACGUAGGAGGCAAGCGUUAUCCGGAGUUACUGGGCGUAAAGCGUAUGUAGGCGGCUGGGCAAGUGGCGUGUGAAAGCUCCCGGCUAAACUGGGAGACGACAGGUCAGACUGCUCGGCUCGAGUCCGAUAGAGGGGCGUAGAAUUCCGGGUGUAGCGGUGAAAUGUGUAGAGAUCCGGAGGAAUACCAGUGGCGCAAGCGACGCCCUGGGUCGGGACUGACGCUGAGAUACGAAAGCGUGGGGAGCGAACGGGAUUAGAGACCCCGGUAGUCCACGCUGUAAACGAUGCGAACUGGGUGUUCACUGUCCGACAGGACAGGGAGUGCCGAAGCUAACGCGCUAAGUUCGCCGCCUGGGGAGUACGGUCGCAAGACUA
Molecule: ribosomal RNA, 379 nt
Filed under: uncultured bacterium
Lineage: Bacteria
Description: bacterial SSU rRNA
Rfam family: Bacterial small subunit ribosomal RNA
Source: RNAcentral